Molecule: non-coding RNA, 180 nt
Filed under: Burkholderiales bacterium
Lineage: Bacteria; Pseudomonadati; Pseudomonadota; Betaproteobacteria; Burkholderiales
Also listed under: 1 other name
Description: 6S RNA
Rfam family: 6S / SsrS RNA
About the family: E. coli 6S RNA was the first non coding RNA to be sequenced, but its function was unknown until recently.
Source: RNAcentral
UUUCCCCUGCGGUGCUCGUGUAGGGCCAUAGAGUCAUUGACCAACAUCGUGUACUCUGGACGCCGACUCAAGUAGCUGCUGUGUGCGCCUCCGACAUGGAAGCGCCUAAUGGGCUCGGAAGGCGACCAACCUUGAACCGUUGGUUCAAGAUUCAGGCCUGACGGCACAGGCGGGGGUCCC